UCCUACGGGAGGCAGCAGUGGGGAAUAUUGCACAAUGGACGAAAGUCUGAUGCAGCAACGCCGCGUGGAGGAUGACACAUUUCGGUGCGUAAACUCCUUUUAUAUAGGAAGAUAAUGACGGUACUAUAUGAAUAAGCACCGGCUAACUCCGUGCCAGCAGCCGCGGUAAUACGGAGGGUGCAAGCGUUACUCGGAAUCACUGGGCGUAAAGAGCGUGUAGGCGGGUAUAUAAGUCAGAAGUGAAAUCCAAUAGCUUAACUAUUGAACUGCUUUUGAAACGGUAUACCUAGAAUGUGGGAGAGGUAGAUGGAAUUUCUGGUGUAGGGGUAAAAUCCGUAGAGAUCAGAAGGAAUACCGAUUGCGAAGGCGAUCUACUGGAACAUUAUUGACGCUGAGACGCGAAAGCGUGGGGAGCAAACAGGAUUAGAUACCCGGGUAGUC
This 441-nucleotide ribosomal RNA is filed under the name uncultured Arcobacter sp. RNAcentral describes it as "bacterial SSU rRNA". It matches the Rfam family "Bacterial small subunit ribosomal RNA", at positions 337 to 795 of the family's 1533-position model. Lineage: Bacteria; Pseudomonadati; Campylobacterota; Epsilonproteobacteria; Campylobacterales; Arcobacteraceae. The record is from RNAcentral.